RNAcentral lists this ribosomal RNA (521 nucleotides) under uncultured Glomus. RNAcentral's name for it is "SSU rRNA". It matches the Rfam family "Eukaryotic small subunit ribosomal RNA", at positions 569 to 1092 of the family's 1831-position model. The record is from RNAcentral. Lineage: Eukaryota; Fungi; Glomeromycota; Glomeromycetes; Glomerales; Glomeraceae.
AGCAGCCGCGGUAAUUCCAGCUCCAAUAGCGUAUAUUAAAGUUGUUGCAGUUAAAAAGCUCGUAGUUGAAUUUCGGGAUCAAAUUGUCGGUCGUGCCUCGGUACGUACUGGUAUUAUUGGUUCCUCCCUUCUGACGAACCACGAUGUCAUUAAUUUGGUGUCAUGGGAAAUCAGGACUGUUACUUUGAAAAAAUUAGAGUGUUUAAAGCAGGCUCGCGCUUGAAUACAUUAGCAUGGAAUAAUGAAAUAGGACGUUUGAUUCUAUUUUGUUGGUUUCUAGGAUCGACGUAAUGAUUAAUAGGGAUAGUUGGGGGCAUUAGUAUUCAAUUGUCAGAGGUGAAAUUCUUGGAUUUAUUGAAGACUAACUACUGCGAAAGCAUUUGCCAAGGAUGUUUUCAUUAAUCAAGAACGAAAGUUAGGGGAUCGAAGACGAUCAGAUACCGUCGUAGUCUUAACCAUAAACUAUGCCGACUAGGGAUCGGAUGAUGUUAAUUUUUUAAUGACUCAUUCGGCGCCUUACG